GACGAACGCUGGCGGCGUGCCUAAUACAUGCAAGUCGAGCGGAUCUUCAUUAGCUUGCUUUUGAAGAUCAGCGGCGGACGGGUGAGUAACACGUGGGCAACCUGCCUGUAAGACUGGGAUAACUUCGGGAAACCGGAGCUAAUACCGGAUAAUCCUUUUCCUCUCAUGAGGAAAAGUUGAAAGACGGUUUCGGCUGUCACUUACAGAUGGGCCCGCGGCGCAUUAGCUAGUUGGUGAGGUAACGGCUCACCAAGGCGACGAUGCGUAGCCGACCGGGGAGGGGGAUCGGCCACACUGGGACUGAGACACGGCCCAGACUCCUACGGGAGGCAGCAGUAGGGAAUCGUCCGCAAUGGACGAAAGUCUGACGGAGCAACGCCGCGUGAGCGAUGAAGGCCUUCGGGUCGUAAAGCUCUGUUGUCAGGGAAGAACAAGUACCGGAGUAACUGCCGGUACCUUGACGGUACCUGACCAGAAAGCCACGGCUAACUACGUGCCAGCCGCCGCCGUAA
RNAcentral lists this ribosomal RNA (512 nucleotides) under uncultured bacterium. RNAcentral's name for it is "partial 16S ribosomal RNA". It matches the Rfam family "Bacterial small subunit ribosomal RNA", at positions 28 to 523 of the family's 1533-position model. The record is from RNAcentral.